Molecule: ribosomal RNA, 1036 nt
Filed under: Enterococcus casseliflavus
Lineage: Bacteria; Bacillati; Bacillota; Bacilli; Lactobacillales; Enterococcaceae
Description: bacterial SSU rRNA
Rfam family: Bacterial small subunit ribosomal RNA
Source: RNAcentral
GCUUUUUCUUUUCACCGGAGCUUGCUCCACCGAAAGAAAAAGAGUGGCGAACGGGUGAGUAACACGUGGGUAACCUGCCCAUCAGAAGGGGAUAACACUUGGAAACAGGUGCUAAUACCGUAUAACACUAUUUUCCGCAUGGAAGAAAGUUGAAAGGCGCUUUUGCGUCACUGAUGGAUGGACCCGCGGUGCAUUAGCUAGUUGGUGAGGUAACGGCUCACCAAGGCAACGAUGCAUAGCCGACCUGAGAGGGUGAUCGGCCACACUGGGACUGAGACACGGCCCAGACUCCUACGGGAGGCAGCAGUAGGGAAUCUUCGGCAAUGGACGAAAGUCUGACCGAGCAACGCCGCGUGAGUGAAGAAGGUUUUCGGAUCGUAAAACUCUGUUGUUAGAGAAGAACAAGGAUGAGAGUAAAACGUUCAUCCCUUGACGGUAUCUAACCAGAAAGCCACGGCUAACUACGUGCCAGCAGCCGCGGUAAUACGUAGGUGGCAAGCGUUGUCCGGAUUUAUUGGGCGUAAAGCGAGCGCAGGCGGUUUCUUAAGUCUGAUGUGAAAGCCCCCGGCUCAACCGGGGAGGGUCAUUGGAAACUGGGAGACUUGAGUGCAGAAGAGGAGAGUGGAAUUCCAUGUGUAGCGGUGAAAUGCGUAGAUAUAUGGAGGAACACCAGUGGCGAAGGCGGCUCUCUGGUCUGUAACUGACGCUGAGGCUCGAAAGCGUGGGGAGCGAACAGGAUUAGAUACCCUGGUAGUCCACGCCGUAAACGAUGAGUGCUAAGUGUUGGAGGGUUUCCGCCCUUCAGUGCUGCAGCAAACGCAUUAAGCACUCCGCCUGGGGAGUACGACCGCAAGGUUGAAACUCAAAGGAAUUGACGGGGCCCGCACAAGCGGUGGAGCAUGUGGUUUAAUUCGAAGCAACGCGAAGAACCUUACCAGGUCUUGACAUCCUUUGACCCCUCUAGAGAUAGAGCUUCCCCUUCGGGGCAAGUGACAGGUGGUGCAUGGUGUCGUCAGCUCGUGUCGUGAGAUGUUGG